Molecule: ribosomal RNA, 253 nt
Filed under: Flintibacter butyricus
Lineage: Bacteria; Bacillati; Bacillota; Clostridia; Eubacteriales
Also listed under: 1 other name
Description: partial 16S ribosomal RNA
Rfam family: Bacterial small subunit ribosomal RNA
Source: RNAcentral
UACGUAGGUGGCAAGCGUUAUCCGGAUUUACUGGGUGUAAAGGGCGUGUAGGCGGGAUUGCAAGUCAGAUGUGAAAACCACGGGCUCAACCUGUGGCCUGCAUUUGAAACUGCAGUUCUUGAGUACUGGAGAGGCAGACGGAAUUCCUAGUGUAGCGGUGAAAUGCGUAGAUAUUAGGAGGAACACCAGUGGCGAAGGCGGUCUGCUGGACAGCAACUGACGCUGAGGCGCGAAAGCGUGGGGAGCAAACAGG